This 253-nucleotide ribosomal RNA is filed under the name uncultured bacterium. Its description in RNAcentral is "partial 16S ribosomal RNA". It matches the Rfam family "Bacterial small subunit ribosomal RNA", at positions 524 to 776 of the family's 1533-position model. The record is from RNAcentral.
UACGUAGGGUGCAAGCGUUGUCCGGAAUUAUUGGGCGUAAAGAGCUCGUAGGCGGUUUGUUGCGUCGGCUGUGAAAUCCCGAGGCUCAACCUCGGGUCUGCAGUCGAUACGAGCAAACUAGAGUGUUGCAGGGGAGACUGGAAUUCCUGGUGUAGCGGUGAAAUGCGCAGAUAUCAGGAGGAACACCGGUGGCGAAGGCGGGUCUCUGGGCCGAUACUGACGCUGAGGAGCGAAAGCGUGGGGAGCGUACAGG